CCUAGGGAGGCAGCAGUAAGGAAUAUUGGUCAAUGGACGAAAGUCUGAACCAGCCAUGCCGCGUGAAGGAUGAAGGCCCUCUGGGUUGUAAACUUCUUUUAUCUGGGACGAAAAAAGGGAAUUCUUUCCCACUUGACGGUACCAGAGGAAUAAGCACCGGCUAACUCCGUGCCAGCAGCCGCGGUAAUACGGAGGGUGCAAGCGUUAUCCGGAUUUACUGGGUUUAAAGGGUGCGUAGGUGGGUAGGUAAGUCAGUGGUGAAAUCUCCGAGCUUAACUCGGAAACUGCCAUUGAUACUAUCUAUCUUGAAUAUCCUGGAGGUGAGCGGAAUAUGUCAUGUAGCGGUGAAAUGCUUAGAUAUGACAUAGAACACCAAUUGCGAAGGCAGCUCACUACGGGAUUAUUGACACUGAGGCACGAAAGCGUGGGGAUCAAACAGGAUUAGAUACCCUGGUAGUCCACGCCCUAAACGAUGGAUACUCGACAUACGCGAUACACUGUGUGUGUCUGAGCGAAAGCAUUAAGUAUCCACCUGGGAAGUACGAAUGCAAGAUUGAAACUUCAAAUUGAUUGACGGNNGAGAGNGCGAGACGACGACGAGGAGGAGG
RNAcentral lists this ribosomal RNA (608 nucleotides) under uncultured bacterium. RNAcentral's name for it is "bacterial SSU rRNA". It matches the Rfam family "Bacterial small subunit ribosomal RNA", at positions 338 to 947 of the family's 1533-position model. The record is from RNAcentral.